This 421-nucleotide ribosomal RNA is filed under the name uncultured bacterium. RNAcentral describes it as "bacterial SSU rRNA". It matches the Rfam family "Bacterial small subunit ribosomal RNA", at positions 28 to 452 of the family's 1533-position model. The record is from RNAcentral.
GACGAACGCUGGCGGCGUGCCUAACACAUGCAAGUCGAGCGAAUGAAAUUCCUUCGGGAACGGAUUUAGCGGCGGACGGGUGAGUAACACGUGGGCAACCUGCCUCAUAGAGGGGAAUAGCCUUCCGAAAGGGAGAUUAAUACCGCAUAAGAUUGUAGUACCGCAUGGUACAGCAAUUAAAGGAGCAAUCCGCUAUGAGAUGGGCCCCGCGGCGCAUUAGCUAGUUGGUGAGGUAACGGCGUCACCAAGGCGACGAUGCGUAGCCAACCUGAGAGGGUGAUCGGCCACAUUGGGACUGAGACACGGCCCAGACUCUACGGAGGCAGCAGUGGGGAAUAUUGCACAAUGGGGGAAACCCUGAUGCAGCAACGCCGCGUGAGUGAUGAGCCUGGUGUAAAGCGUCUGUGAUCGGGACGAACGG